AAAUCACCUCCAGGUCACUAGGCUGAAAACCGCUGUCAUUUCUCCUGGAACAAAUAUUCUCUACCUUACUCUAGCACCACAUUAUUAAAUGGAGAUAACAAUAUUUAUGCCCUUCCCAAGGGGUAACAGGGAUGGACAGCUCUCCUGGGUUGGGCCUGCUUGGAUGAGGAAGUGACAAGCAGUGGGGAAACAGGGAUUUAUGUGUGAGCGAACAGCAGGCAGCUGUCUCCUCGGCAGCGGCUGCCACCGGGAACUACAAGGCAACGUGAAGCCUGUGCUAGAAAAACCCCUCCUGGGCCGGUCCUGCAAGCAGCCAAGAUGCGGUUAAAGAUUCCAAUUCUGAUGGGAUCCCAUGUCUCCUAGGUUACAGCUGAGGACUGUGUUUUCCUUUAUUACAACAGAAAAUGUGUGUUCCCCAGGGACUGUUCAAACAUCUGUAUGAGCAUUUCAGGCCCACCCAGACAAACCAGGAUUACGCCCUCAUCUCAAGAUCCUUAAUUUAAUCACAUCUACAAAGAUCUUUUGGACCUGAUGUCUUUGGGGAACGUUUUCAGUCUACUAUGCCUUUUAUGGAUCAGACAUUGUGCUAAAUGCUGAGAACAUAGCAGAUAAAAAGACCCUAUUGUACUCCCAAGGAAUGAAAGAUUAUUAAGGAUCACAGACUCUCAGAUUUGGACAAGACAUUAGAAAUGCGGUUCUCAAAGUGUAGUCUCCGGACCACCAACAUCACCGGAGAAUUUUUUGGAAAGAGCACUGUCCUGGGCACAGAAAGGAAUACAAAAGGAUAUAACACACAGAUUCUGGCUUUAAGGAUGUGAUGAUGAAAAUGGAGAAACCCACCAAAGGCAUGUGAAGUGCUGAUGGAAAGUAGCAGCAGAUACCUGUACCUGGCUUAGAGAUGAAGAGGAGAGUUCAUUCUGGGCUUGCCUGUUUCCAUCUGUUAUGUUCCAGCUGACUGAAUUUGGGCCCAUCAUUUUACCUCUCUGUGGUUCAGUUUCUUCAUCCAGAAAGUGAGGCAAAUAAACUGGAGCAUGUCUAAUCAUCUAUGACUCUGAGUACAGCCAGAAGUGCUACCAGAAUUCAAAAUAAUGAUAAUGCCUAAUACGGAAUGAGUUGGGGCAAGUACUGGUUUAAAACUUUGUGAUUCAUUUAUUCUUCAUUUCAACCCUGAGAGGUUCUGGCAUCAUUUCCAUUUUAUAGAUGGGAAACUGAGGCACAGAAAAAUUUUAAAUUACUUUCUUAAGAUCAUACAGCUAACAAGUAGCAAAGCUGGGAUUUAAACCUGUACUCUUAACAAUAUGCUAUAUGCGGCCGGGCGCGGUGGCUCACGCCUGUAAUCCCAGCACUUUGGGAGGCCGAGACGGGCGGAUCACAAGGUCAGGAAAUCGAGACCAUCCUGGCUAACACGGUGAAACCCCGUCUCUACUAAAAAUACAAAAAUUAG
This 1444-nucleotide long non-coding RNA is filed under the name Homo sapiens (human). RNAcentral's name for it is "HSALNT0016838". Lineage: Eukaryota; Metazoa; Chordata; Mammalia; Primates; Hominidae. The record is from RNAcentral.